CAGUCGCCGCGGGAAAACGAAGGGUGCAAGCGUUACUCGGAAUUACUGGGCGUAAAGCGUGCGUAGGUGGUGGUUUAAGUCAGUUGUGAAAGCCCUGGGCUCAACCUGGGAAUUGCAGUGGAUACUGGAUCACUAGAGUGUGGUAGAGGAUAGUGGAAUUUCCGGUGUAGCAGUGAAAUGCGUAGAUAUCGGAAGGAACAUCUGUGGCGAAGGCGACUACCUGGGCCAACACUGACACUGAGGCACGAAAGCGUGGGGAGCAAACAGGAUUAGAUACCCCUGUAGUCCCUGUCUCUUAUAC
This 301-nucleotide ribosomal RNA is filed under the name uncultured bacterium. Its description in RNAcentral is "partial 16S ribosomal RNA". It matches the Rfam family "Bacterial small subunit ribosomal RNA", at positions 509 to 807 of the family's 1533-position model. The record is from RNAcentral.